This 23-nucleotide non-coding RNA is filed under the name Arabidopsis thaliana (thale cress). Lineage: Eukaryota; Viridiplantae; Streptophyta; Magnoliopsida; Brassicales; Brassicaceae. The record is from RNAcentral.
CAACGCCAUUCUUCUGCUCAUGA